Long non-coding RNA from Triticum dicoccoides, 443 nucleotides. RefSeq lists it as uncharacterized. Lineage: Eukaryota; Viridiplantae; Streptophyta; Magnoliopsida; Poales; Poaceae. The transcript has 4 exons. The record is from RefSeq and is a predicted model, not a curated record.
GCAUGCCUGAUACAAGACCCCUGAAUAGUGAUUGGAGCAUUAAAGCCAUGGUGGUAUUCAUUUUUUGCAGCCGUUGGAUGAUGUAUCAUAAAACAGAAUUUCACUUCGGAUAGCUGCAUGUGUACAUAUGUGGUGGAGGAACUCAACAAUUUCCAGUAAAAGCAAACGUUUUUGCAGUCAAAGGUUGUGCUUCUCGAUGAUCAGAUAUUUAUGGCAUGGUUGUUUAUGCUCUGCUCAUGGUCGUGCCUGCGAAGCUGUGAUGACUUGACGACAGGAGAAGUGGUCAGGAUUGAGCCAUCGGACAAGAGAUGACCGCCGUCGAUUGCCAACAAAUUUCUGUAUGUCGCAGUGAGCGGGAUGCGUUCAAUAUCUUCAGAUGCUCUGCGCUGCACCCGCUAUAUUUGAUAUGAGUCCACAUGCAAAAUAAAGGCAUCACAUGUUCU